GCCUUCGUGGUGUAGUGGUUCUUCACGCUGGGCCUAUAUUCCAGAAGCCCGUGGUUCGAUACCCGGCGAAGGCG
RNAcentral lists this transfer RNA (74 nucleotides) under Stegodyphus dumicola. RNAcentral's name for it is "tRNA-Ile". Lineage: Eukaryota; Metazoa; Arthropoda; Arachnida; Araneae; Eresidae. The record is from RNAcentral.